AACGAACGCUGGCGGCGUGGAUAAGACAUGCAAGUCGAACGGGAGUUUAUUUAUAGCAAUAUGAGUGAACUCUAGUGGCGAAAGGGUGCGUAACACGUAGCUACCUACCUCGAAGUUGGGGAUAGCUCGGCGAAAGCCGGAUUAAUACCGAAUGUGAUCGUGAGAUCAAAGCUGGGGAUCGUAAGACCUGGCGCUUUGAGAUGGGGCUGCGGCCUAUCAGCUAGUUGGCGGGGUAACGGCCCACCAAGGCUUGGACGGGUAGCUGGUCUGAGAGGACGACCAGCCACACUGGAACUGAGACACGGUCCAGACACCUACGGGUGGCAGCAGUCGAGGAUUUUCUCAAUGGGGAAACCCUGAAGAGCGACGCCGCGUGAGGA
This 380-nucleotide ribosomal RNA is filed under the name uncultured bacterium. RNAcentral's name for it is "bacterial SSU rRNA". It matches the Rfam family "Bacterial small subunit ribosomal RNA", at positions 29 to 407 of the family's 1533-position model. The record is from RNAcentral.